RNAcentral lists this ribosomal RNA (817 nucleotides) under Amanita marmorata. RNAcentral describes it as "LSU rRNA". It matches the Rfam family "Eukaryotic large subunit ribosomal RNA", at positions 97 to 896 of the family's 3401-position model. Lineage: Eukaryota; Fungi; Basidiomycota; Agaricomycetes; Agaricales; Amanitaceae. The record is from RNAcentral.
AGCGGGAAAAGCUCAAAUUUAAAAUCUGGCAGACUUUGUCUGUCCGAGUUGUAACCUAGAGAAGUGUAACCUGUGCUGGACCAUGUACAAGUCUCCUGGAAUGGAGCAUCACAGAGGGUGAGAAUCCCGUCUUUGACAUGGACUACCAGUACACUGUGGUUGCACACUCAACGAGUCGAGUUGUUUGGGAAUGCAGCUCUAAAUGGGUGGUAAAUUCCAUCUAAAGCUAAAUAUUGGCGAGAGACCGAUAGUGAACAAGUACCGUGAGGGAAAGAUGAAAAGAACUUUGGAAAGAGAGUUAAACAGUAUGUGAAAUUGUUGAAAGGGAAACGCUUGAAGUCAGCUGUGUUGGCUGGGGAUCAAGCCAGCUUAUUUGCUGGGUGUACUUCCUGGUUGACGGGUCAACAUCAGUUUUGACCAUCAGAGAAAGGCAAAGGGAAUGUGGCACCUUUUAGGUGUGUUAUAGCCCUUUGUUGUAUGUGGUGGUUGGGACUGAGGACAGCAGCGUGCCAUAUGGCCGGGUUUAGACCACGUUCACGCUUUGGAUGUUGGCAUAAUGGCUUUAAGCGACCCGUCUUGAAACACGGACCAAGGAGUCUAACAUGCAUGCAAGUGUUUGGGUGGAAAACCCGAGCGCGUAAUGAAAGUGAAAGUUGAGAUCCCUGUCACGGGGGAGCAUCGACGCCCGGACCAGAACUUUUGGGACGGAUCUGCGGUAGAGCAAGCAUGUUGGGACCCGAAAGAUGGUGAACUAUGCCUGAAUAGGGUGAAGCCAGAGGAAACUCUGGUGGAGGCUCGUAGCGAUUCUGACGUGCAA